Molecule: small RNA, 31 nt
Filed under: Bombyx mori (domestic silkworm)
Lineage: Eukaryota; Metazoa; Arthropoda; Insecta; Lepidoptera; Bombycidae
Description: piRNA piR-bmo-2063620
Source: RNAcentral
UCUGAGACUGUAGGCGAAGCCUUAUGGGCAU